Cyanistes caeruleus (blue tit) is the source of this 1041-nucleotide non-coding RNA. The record is from RefSeq and is a predicted model, not a curated record. Lineage: Eukaryota; Metazoa; Chordata; Aves; Passeriformes; Paridae.
GAGAAUACUCUAUUGGAAAAAUUUCAACUAUCAUUUUUUAAGUCAUAAGCCAUUCUCCUUAAGCAAUUAAAAUUUCAAAAUUAACAAAAGUAAAGAAUUUUGUUGUUUUCCUGAAGUGGAAAUUUUGCUUAAAUUGCCCAUUGCUCAGGUAUAUGAUUCAGUGCCUAGAACUGAAUCAGGUCAUUUAUUACAUAAUUUUCAGUUUGCCAAUAGCUUGGGUGUGAACAUCUAAAGAAAUCCAUUAACUCCCUGUAAGUGCUGGAGUCAUUAAUUCUCACAGGUGUGUACUCUUCAAAUAUAUGAGCUGAAAAAUCAUGAUUCUUUGAGUAAUAUUUUUUAGAUAGCUUGCUUUUGACCAUACUUUCCAUUGUGUAAUUUAAUCUUAGAAGUUUGUACAAUGUGAUGUGGUUCAGAACUCAGAAAAUAAAUCCUUAAACAAAAUAUUGAGGGGUGCUGCUUUAUCUGCUGUUCUUAAUUGUUCAAAGCAAAAUAAUUGAACAGUGUGGGACACAAUCCAGAGUCUGAACACAGAAAGGUAGAGUUGUUCUACAUGGAGAUCCUCAGUAUGGCUUGCCUGAGAAUCUUUACUAUAUUUUUGCAUUAAAUAUUUACAAGGUUAGGUUUGGGGAAUUGAGUAUCAAGUUCAUACAGAUAAUUUAAUAUCUCUUUUUGUUGUUUUUUUUUGGUCGACAUAUAUAUGGUGUUUUGAAAGAGGGCUGUGGAACUACACCAAAGGGUAACUUCUUAUCUAACCUGCAUCUGGAGGAGUGGCAGGCACAAAUGUUGAAGUGGAAUCACUAAGGCUCAACAAAGGGACACGGCUGUCACGAGGAUGUGAUUCUAUCCUAACCUUAAACACCGCCAGUCAUGGGAAAAAAUCUCGUCGGUUCAGUCCGACUUUGAUCACUGCAUUUCUGCAGAGGGCCUGCCCCAGCACUGCGCGCCGAGUACAAGCUUGACUAGACUCCUUCAAAGAGAUCCUUAGAAUAUGCUAGAAAGUGAACUGUGGGAACUGGAGAAAAUGUUGAGCCAGGUAUCUAU